RNAcentral lists this long non-coding RNA (1533 nucleotides) under Phasianus colchicus (ring-necked pheasant). Its description in RNAcentral is "lncRNA (ENSPCLG00000002104.1)". Lineage: Eukaryota; Metazoa; Chordata; Aves; Galliformes; Phasianidae. The record is from RNAcentral.
AUGAUAAUCUAUCUUAAAAGCAUUUUUAUUUAAUAAAAUACAGAGUCAGCUCAAGCAAGCACAUGCAAUGAGAGACAAAAGGAUUGGUGUUAUUUAAAACUUGAGCACAGGAAGAUCUGAAGAGGAUACUGAGUGAAAUUCAAUCCAGUAAAGUUGAUACAUUCUUGGCAGCUAUUUAAGAUCCUCCAGGUUGAAUGCUAUGAGAAGGGUGAUGGAUCAUUUCUAAGCUUCCAGAAACCUCAGCUCAGAUCUUCAGACUGAAUCUGGAAAAAUGAUUACCUGAAUGUCCUCCAAAACAACACAGGGCCUCUGCUGAAAUUCUUUUCUUUUAUUAUUUAUAGAUGGGAAACAAUAUCUGCUAGUAUCAAAAUGUAAAUCAGUUUAUAACCAUACAGAGUUGGAGGACAAACACGACUGCAAGACAUCACCAUUUACAGAAGGAGGCUACUGUCAUCAUUUGGAGAGUAUAACAGAAAAUGCAUCCCAAAUAGAGACAGAAUGGCUUUUCGGCCUGGCAGAGCCCUGGCUCACACUGUUUCAGUGGCGAACAUCCAGGGUGAUAAUCCCUGCAAGCAAUCGCUUAGCUGGUGCUGAUCCUCCAGCAGGCUGUUGGAGCAAAGGUUAUCAGCAUAUUUACCACUUCUGCAGCCUCUUUGAGCAUGAGAAUUUUAGUGGCUGAGACACAAGAUUUAUACUGGGAGCACUGUCACUGCUGGAGCUGUGUAUGGCAUGUUCUAUGCUGAGUUUCUCAUGUCAAGUGAAGCAGGUGAUUGAAUUCACCAGGCUGUCUUCAGACCAAUUUUUCUGCCGCAUUAAAGUGACAUUCACUGUAAUGAAAUGUUGGUCUUCGCUGAGAACACUGAAUGGUGCAGUCUGAUAUCCAAGCUGCUUUACAGUACAUGCAGAGCAUGUACUUUUUCUUUUUUUAAUUCUUAUUCCUAGCAUGGUUGUUUAUGUGGGGUUAAUUUUCCACUUGGUCUUUUUUCAGCACAGUUUCACCUAUGGAGCUGAAAAGACACAAGCAUUUAUCUUUUUAGAUACUGGGCGAUAAAAAUAACAUAGGAAUAUCAAAUCUCAUUAGGUUUCUGAUACCAACAGCUAUACCAAGGAACAAAUCCACUUUCUCUUCCCACAAAAGCUCUGUACGUAUGCAAUCACUUAUUACAUCAUUCCUGAUACAAUUUAAAUAAUAGUUCACUUUCUUUUCCCAAGUUUUGAACUUUCAUCUUUUAAAUCUGCUUCCUACAGUAAAGUAUACUAGCUGUAUACAUGAUUUUACUGUGAAAUAUUAAACUGGAAAAAAAAUUUUGAAAUAUACAAAUAUUUUCCUUAAUAUCCACUCCUAAUUCAAAAUCAGGCUCAUCUCGAAUCAAUUUUAUUUAUAUCUUUGUAGUUAGUCCCAAAGGGCUUUUUGCAACCUAAUUUUUCUUUGAUUUAUUGAUCGUUUUACAAAACUGGAGAUGUUUGGUUGUUCAUCCAAGCUAGCUUGGAUGUAGAGUUCAUAAAUUUGUGAGCUCUAUUGUCACACAAACA